This 252-nucleotide ribosomal RNA is filed under the name uncultured bacterium. RNAcentral describes it as "partial 16S ribosomal RNA". It matches the Rfam family "Bacterial small subunit ribosomal RNA", at positions 525 to 776 of the family's 1533-position model. The record is from RNAcentral.
ACGGAGGGUGCGAGCGUUAAUCGGAAUUACUGGGCGUAAAGCGCGCGUAGGCGGUUGAUUAAGUCGGAUGUGAAAGCCCUGGGCUUAACCUGGGAACUGCAUUCGAUACUGUUCGACUAGAGUACGAGAGAGGGAGGUAGAAUUCCACGUGUAGCGGUGAAAUGCGUAGAUAUGUGGAGGAAUACCGGUGGCGAAGGCGGCCUCCUGGCUCGAUACUGACGCUGAGGUGCGAAAGCGUGGGGAGCAAACAGG